This 254-nucleotide ribosomal RNA is filed under the name uncultured bacterium. RNAcentral describes it as "partial 16S ribosomal RNA". It matches the Rfam family "Bacterial small subunit ribosomal RNA", at positions 9 to 245 of the family's 1533-position model. The record is from RNAcentral.
GAGUUUGAUCCUGGCUCAGGAUGAACGCUGGCGGCGUGCUUAACACAUGCAAGUCGAACGGGGUGCCUAUGAUAGAGGAUUCGUCCAAUUGAUUAGGCUACCUAGUGGCGGACGGGUGAGUAACGCGUGAGUAACCUGCCUUGGAGUGGGGAAUAACAGUCCGAAAGGACUGCUAAUACCGCAUGAUGCAGCGAGGUCGCAUGGCCUUGCUGCCAAAGUAUUUACGCUCUGAGAUGGACUCGCGUCUGAUUAGC